RNAcentral lists this ribosomal RNA (339 nucleotides) under Triticum aestivum (bread wheat). Its description in RNAcentral is "partial small subunit ribosomal RNA". The record is from RNAcentral. Lineage: Eukaryota; Viridiplantae; Streptophyta; Magnoliopsida; Poales; Poaceae.
AUGGCGAAGGACAAGACAUCCGCUCUGGAGCGUGCGAAGAAGGCGACGGCACAGGGAAAGGGGAAGAGGUCUGCUCGGGGCGGAUCCUCCUCAAGGCCUGCUCUGCCCCGAGGCUGGAUCCAGGGCGAUUGGAUGCCGUCGGUGAUCCGGCAAGAAGAUCUCGACGACAUGGUCGAGGGGGGAGUCAUUCCCCACGAAGCUGCGCGUCUCCCGGGGAGAGAGAUCGAACCUCAACCCCGCGACGGUGAGUGCGUGCUCCUAGCCACCCAUGUCGACCGCGGAUUUUAUCUGCCGCCCCAUCCUUUUUUCCGGAGCUUCCUGAACUUCUUCGGAGCGUAG